This 254-nucleotide ribosomal RNA is filed under the name uncultured bacterium. Its description in RNAcentral is "partial 16S ribosomal RNA". It matches the Rfam family "Bacterial small subunit ribosomal RNA", at positions 524 to 776 of the family's 1533-position model. The record is from RNAcentral.
UACGGGGGGGGCAAGCGUUGUUCGGAUUUACUGGGCGUAAAGGGCGCGUAGGCGGUCAGCACAAGUCAGUUGUGAAAUCUCCGGGCUUAACUCGGAAAGGUCAACUGAUACUGUGCGACUAGAGUGCAGAAGGGGCAACUGGAAUUCUCGGUGUAGCGGUGAAAUGCGUAGAUAUCGAGAGGAAUACCUGCGGCGAAGGCGGGUUGCUGGGCUGACACUGACGCUGAUGCGCGAAAGCCAGGGGAGCGAACGGG